This 514-nucleotide ribosomal RNA is filed under the name Epizoanthus illoricatus. Its description in RNAcentral is "partial 16S ribosomal RNA". It matches the Rfam family "Bacterial large subunit ribosomal RNA", at positions 2006 to 2461 of the family's 2925-position model. The record is from RNAcentral. Lineage: Eukaryota; Metazoa; Cnidaria; Anthozoa; Zoantharia; Epizoanthidae.
GAAGGCCCCACUGUCUUAAGAGAAUUCCCAGUGAAAUUGAAUUCGUAGUGAAGAUGCUACGUCCAAUUUGUUAGACGAAAAGACCCCAUUGAGCUUUACUGGAGACUUACAUUGCUCGGAUCGACUCUCGCCCCCAGGGGGGGGGUCGAAUUUAAAUGGAUAGCUUAGAUUAUGUGGUGUCAUAACCAUCGAUCAAGUAGUCCCUACGGGAUUGCCCCGAAGGUAGACCUGUUUGGGUGAAUGAAACCCCACUCUUUUAUGUUAAAUGAGCUAACCCUUUCUCUCUUAAGGGGGACAAUGUAAGUUGGACAGUUUGGUUGGGGCGACCGCCUUUUAAAGAGUAACGAAGGUGUGCUUAAGGUACACAAUUAAUAUCAGUAGCCUGACUGCGAGGGGGAUUCCCCCGAGCAGACACCUAAAGUCUUCUCUCUUCCUCCCCGAAGGUUAAAGACGAAUGGUGGGUUAUAGUGACCCGUUAAUUUAGAGUGGAAUAGUUAACGAUCAACAAAUAAAA